Molecule: ribosomal RNA, 579 nt
Filed under: Leccinum sp. KPM-NC-0017841
Lineage: Eukaryota; Fungi; Basidiomycota; Agaricomycetes; Boletales; Boletaceae
Description: partial small subunit ribosomal RNA
Rfam family: Bacterial small subunit ribosomal RNA
Source: RNAcentral
CAGCAGUCAAGAAUAUUAGUCAAUGCUCGCAAGAGUGAACUAGCUAACUGAAAUCUUAAUUUUUUUAAUUAUUAAGAUAAGGUAAGAGAAAAUAAUGAUAUUAUCUUACUAUUAGUGUCGUCUAAAUUUGGUGCCAGAAGACUCGGUAAGACCUUAGACGCGAACGUUAAUCGUCAUAAUCAGGCGUAAAGAGUGUGUAGGCGGCUUUAAAAAAAUAUUUGAUAUUUAAAUUAAAGCUAGAAUCUAAAAGAGGGUAAGCUAAACAACAUAAUUAAUUAGGACUGACAACUUAUAAUAAUGUGGAGUACUAAAGGUUAAAGCUAUUUAUCUACUUAAGAUUGACGCUCAGAAACGAAGGGGAGAAUAAGAAACUUAGAUUAGAGACCUAAUUAUCUCUCUCAGUCAACGAUGAAUGGUUGUUAUUAAAAAUACAAAUAUAAUUUUUAUAUAAAUAUUAGUAACGAGGUUAACACGAUGACCAUUCCGCCUUGUUAGUAAGACUGCAAAGUUGAAAACAAAAAAAUUAGUCGGUCUUGAAGCAAACGAAGUGAAGCAUGUUAUUUAAUUCGAUAAUCCGCA